UUCAGAGGUCCCAAGCGUUGUUCGGAUUCACUGGGCGUAAAGGGUGCGUAGGCGGUCGGGUAAGUCUGAUGUGAAAUCUCACAGCUUAACUGUGAAACUGCAUUGGAUACUAUCCGGCUCGAGGAAUGGAGGGGAGACUGGAAUACUUGGUGUAGCAGUGAAAUGCGUAGAUAUCAAGUGGAACACCAGUGGCGAAGGCGAGUCUCUGGACAUUUCCUGACGCUGAGGCACGAAAGCCAGGGGAGCAAACGGG
RNAcentral lists this ribosomal RNA (253 nucleotides) under uncultured bacterium. Its description in RNAcentral is "partial 16S ribosomal RNA". It matches the Rfam family "Bacterial small subunit ribosomal RNA", at positions 524 to 776 of the family's 1533-position model. The record is from RNAcentral.